ACCUACGGGAGGCAGCAGUGGGGAAUUUUGGACAAUGGGCGCAAGCCUGAUCCAGCCAUGCCGCGUGCAGGAUGAAGGCCUUCGGGUUGUAAACUGCUUUUGUACGGAACGAAAAGACUCUGGUUAAUACCUGGGGUCCAUGACGGUACCGUAAGAAUAAGCACCGGCUAACUACGUGCCAGCAGCCGCGGUAAUACGUAGGGUGCAAGCGUUAAUCGGAAUUACUGGGCGUAAAGCGUGCGCAGGCGGUUAUGUAAGACAGAGGUGGAAUCCCCGGGCUCAACCUGGGAACUGCCUUUGUGACUGCAUAGCUGGAGUACGGCAGAGGGGGAUGGAAUUCCGCGUGUAGCAGUGAAAUGCGUAGAUAUGCGGAGGAACACCGAUGGCGAAGGCAAUCCCCUGGGCCUGUACUGACGCUCAUGCACGAAAGCGUGGGGAGCAAACAGGAUUAGAUACCCCGGUAGUCC
RNAcentral lists this ribosomal RNA (467 nucleotides) under uncultured bacterium. RNAcentral's name for it is "bacterial SSU rRNA". It matches the Rfam family "Bacterial small subunit ribosomal RNA", at positions 337 to 796 of the family's 1533-position model. The record is from RNAcentral.